Molecule: long non-coding RNA, 1818 nt
Organism: Helianthus annuus (common sunflower)
Lineage: Eukaryota; Viridiplantae; Streptophyta; Magnoliopsida; Asterales; Asteraceae
Exons: 5
Source: RefSeq, a predicted model, not a curated record
UUUGUAUAUUUAACUUUCUUCAUGUUGACAAAUGCUUUUCAGACUACCAAAUAUUGACGAGGGGUUGUAGGAUUUAUUCAUCUGAAUGCAUGUCAUCCUAGGAAAGAGUAGGGCGUGGUACUAUUUGAUGUUGGGAAAGAGCCUUUAGCUCCAGUAAAUCCAUGUUUUUUUUUUUGUUUUUCGUACAUGAUACUUCUAUAGAUGUGGAUAUAUUUAGUGCAUUGGAUAAAAAAUGGCUUUCUUGGUCGAAGUGCAGGGCUGAAACAGUCAUAUAUCAGACUUGGGAAGCCAAGCAGGCAUUUUGUUUGUACUUAAAAGAUCCAAAAAACACAAUUGUCUUAAUUCUUUUUUUUUUCUAGGGUUCUGAAUUUGGGUUUUCUUUUGGAGGCUGUCAAGGAAUGAAAUCAAGGGAGCAGAAGUUGUGUGUCAGGGAAGCAUACUCAUUUGAAGUCAUUCGCAGGCAAUUAGGUAUUUUUGCCUAACAUUUUUACUUUAUGAAAGGUCAGCAAUCGAUGAUGGUUACGUAGAAAGCAGACUUGGGGCAGAAAGAAUGGGAAACAAAGAUUAAUGUUCUUGGGGUGAUUGAGCAUCCAAAUCUUGCCAAACUAAUCGGUUACUAUGCAGAAGAUACUGAACCUGGUACACAACUGUUUUUAGUGUAUGGUUAAUGGAACCGUGCGAGAUCAUUUAUCUACAAAAUCCGAAACACCACUAUUAUGGAACAUGAGACUGAAAGUGGCUCAAGAUGCUGCUCGUGGUUUGACAUAUUUACAUGAAGAAAUGGAUUUUCAGUCUUCUAGACAAUGAUUGGAAUGCUAAGCUUUUGGAUUUUGGGGUUGCACGGUUAGGUCCUCAAGAAGGCUUCACUCAUAUAUCGACAAAGGUAUGUUUUUAUAAUUGUCUUCUAUAUAUCGAGCUAACGUGGUGUGUAAGUUCUGUUGAAAAGAGCAUGUUUUUAUCAUGGGCGGCGAUCUUGACACUAAAACGGGUUUUGGUCGACUAACACAACCCGUUUAAAAAUAGGGUUGGGUUCAGGUUGACCCGUAUUAAAAACUGGUCAGGUUUGGGUUGGCUACUCGAAAGUACAAUAAAGCACAAUGGAAUGGAAUUGGUUUAUAUUCUCACCAAUAGUUGAUUCAUAGAAUGUUCUCAGCCCAAGAAAUCAAAGGAAAACAAGGAUUUGAUCUGAAUGAGAUUGUUUUUGCUAGUGAUCUUUCAGUACAAUGAAUUCUCAAGAAAAUCCCUACAUGCUGCCAACAUUAGCUCCAAGAUUGUGGCCAUUUAUGAGACAUAGUAUCAUAUCUGUCUGUUAUUCAGCCUUUCGCACAUUGGAGAAAGCUACCGAGAGAAAGAAGUGUUAUACAGGUUAAUGUCUCGACUCCAUUCUUCAGUAUUUGUCCACAUAGGUGGAAGAAGAUGAUGAAUCAAUGGCUUUUUCAAGAUGAGCAACAAUAGAAGAAGAGUGAGAAAAGUGUCGCUGAGAUUUCUUCAAAGAAAGUGGUGAUGGGUCACGUACACAUAAUACCUUUCUUAGUAGAACAAACCUGGAAGAUGAUGAAAUAAUAUAUGUCAUGUUGUGUGGAGCUGUAAACGAAAUUAUUAUAGAAGUUAUCAUGUUAUUAAACUGUGUUUAAAUCAUAUAUGUCAUAUUAACAUUUAGGAUAUAAUGGUUGUUGGGCCAUUUGCAUGCUUUGCUUAGCAUAUUGUUAUUCACUUCAAUAAAUCCGCGAGUGCAAUUACACCAACUGCCAUUGUAAUAGGCGUCUAGGUUUUUCAAUUUGUUCAUUGUGAUUAAUCAACGGAUAAAUUACACUUUUC